CCUACGGGAGGCAGCAGUGAGGAAUAUUGGUCAAUGGACGCAAGUCUGAACCAGCCAUGCCGCGUGCAGGAAGACGGCUCUAUGAGUUGUAAACUGCUUUUGUACGAGGGUAAACGCAGAUACGCGUAUCUGUCUGAAAGUAUCGUACGAAUAAGGAUCGGCUAACUCCGUGCCAGCAGCCGCGGUAAUACGGAGGAUUCAAGCGUUAUCCGGAUUUAUUGGGUUUAAAGGGUGCGUAGGCGGUCGGAUAAGUUAGAGGUGAAAUCCGGAGGCGCAACUUCGGAAUUGCCUCUGAAACUGUUCGGCUAGAGAGUAGUAGCGGUAGGCGGAAUGUAUGGUGUAGCGGGGAAAUGCUUAGAGAUCAUACAGAACACCGAUUGCGAAGGCAGCUUACCAGGCUACUUCUGACGUUGAGGCACGAAAGCGUGGGGAGCAAACAGGAUUAGAUACCCGAGUAGUC
This 460-nucleotide ribosomal RNA is filed under the name uncultured bacterium. Its description in RNAcentral is "partial 16S ribosomal RNA". It matches the Rfam family "Bacterial small subunit ribosomal RNA", at positions 338 to 795 of the family's 1533-position model. The record is from RNAcentral.